Molecule: ribosomal RNA, 253 nt
Filed under: uncultured bacterium
Lineage: Bacteria
Description: partial 16S ribosomal RNA
Rfam family: Bacterial small subunit ribosomal RNA
Source: RNAcentral
UACGUAGGGGGCUAGCGUUGUCCGGAAUCAUUGGGCGUAAGGCGCGUGUAGGCGGUCCGGUAAGUCCGCUGUGAAAGUCGGGGGCUCGACCCUCGAAUGCCGGUGGAUACUGUCGGGCUAGAGUGCGGAAGAGGCGAGCGGAAUUCCUGGUGUAGUGGUGAAAUGCGUAGAGAUCCGGAGGAACACCAGAGGCGAAGGCGGCCGGCUGGACCUGACCUGACGCUGAGGCACGAAGGCGUGGGGAGCGAACGGG